GACGAACGCUGGCGGCGUGCCUAAUACAUGCAAGUGGGACGCAAGGACACACACUGUGCUUGCACACCGUGUUUUCUUGAGUCGCGAACGGGCGAGUAACGCGUAGGUAACCUGCCUAUUAGCGGGGGAUAACUACUGGAAACGAAAGCUAAUACCGCAUAAUAUUAAUUAUUGCUUGAUAAUUGAUCGAAAGAUGCAACCGCAUCCCUAGUAGAUGGACCUGCGUUGUAUUAGCUAGUUGGUAAGGUAAGAGCUUACCAAGGCGGCGGUACAUAACCGAGCCGGAGAGGAGGACGGCCAAACUGGGAAUGGGGCAACGGCCCAAAUCCUACCGGAGGGAGCAGGAGGGGAUCUUCGGCAAUGGACGGAAGGCUGACCGCGGCACGCCGCGGGGGUGAAGGAGGGUUUCGGAUCGGAAAGCUCUGUUGUAAGUGAAGAAAGUGUGUGAGGGUGGAAAGUUCACAUAGUGACGGUAGCUUACCAGAAAGGGACGGCUAACUACGUG
RNAcentral lists this ribosomal RNA (505 nucleotides) under uncultured bacterium. Its description in RNAcentral is "partial 16S ribosomal RNA". It matches the Rfam family "Bacterial small subunit ribosomal RNA", at positions 28 to 507 of the family's 1533-position model. The record is from RNAcentral.